GGUGGCAAGCGUUGUUCGGACUUACUGGGCGUAAAGGGCGCGUAGGCGGUCCUGUAAGUCCCGCGUGAAAUCCCCCGGCUCAACUGGGGAACUGCGCGGGAGACUGCGGGGCUUGAGUUCGGGAGAGGGAAGCGGAAUUCCGGGUGUGGCGGUGAAAUGCGUAGAUAUCCGGAGGAACACCGGUGGCGAAGGCGGCUUCCUGGACCGACACUGACGCUGAGGCGCGAAAGCUAGGGGAGCAAACGGG
RNAcentral lists this ribosomal RNA (247 nucleotides) under uncultured bacterium. RNAcentral describes it as "partial 16S ribosomal RNA". It matches the Rfam family "Bacterial small subunit ribosomal RNA", at positions 530 to 776 of the family's 1533-position model. The record is from RNAcentral.